GACGAACGCUGGCGGCGUGCUUAACACAUGCAAGUCGAACGGAAAGGCCCUUCGGGGUACUCGAGUGGCGAACGGGUGAGUAACACGUGGAUGAUCUGCCCUGCACUUUGGGAUAAGCCUGGGAAACUGGGUCUAAUACCGGAUAGGACCACGGCAUUCAUGUGCUGUGGUGGAAAGCUUUUGCGGUGUGGGAUGGGCCCGCGGCCUAUCAGCUUGUUGGUGGGGUAAUGGCCUACCAAGGCGACGACGGGUAGCCGGCCUGAGAGGGUGACCGGCCACACUGGGACUGAGAUACGGCCCAGACUCCUACGGGAGGCAGCAGUGGGGAAUAUUGCACAAUGGGCGCAAGCCUGAUGCAGCGACGCCGCGUGAGGGAUGACGGCCUUCGGGUUGUAAACCUCUUUCGCCAGGGACGAAGCGCAAGUGACGGUACCUGGAGAAGAAGGACCGGCCAACUACGUG
This 462-nucleotide ribosomal RNA is filed under the name uncultured bacterium. RNAcentral describes it as "partial 16S ribosomal RNA". It matches the Rfam family "Bacterial small subunit ribosomal RNA", at positions 28 to 507 of the family's 1533-position model. The record is from RNAcentral.